Molecule: long non-coding RNA, 327 nt
Filed under: Homo sapiens (human)
Lineage: Eukaryota; Metazoa; Chordata; Mammalia; Primates; Hominidae
Description: HSALNT0372889
Source: RNAcentral
ACCUACCAAAUCAUAAUAAAUAUCUAUAUAUUUGGAGAUAGAGAUGAAAACCAUGUGGCUGUAUCCAGUUGGAGUGAAAAAUAUGAACUAUGAAGAAAGAAGGAGUUCUGCUUCUUCCAAAGGAGUGACUCCCAAAGGAACAAGAAUUGACCAUAGGUUAUGGCUUGUGUUACAAUACACCGAUGUUGUCUUUGAGGCCAUCCACUGACGUCCUCACCCAUGGCAUAAGCAAGUUUUUCUGAAGGAAGAAGCAGCAGAAUAAAUUGGAUACUUAAUGAUUGUCUACCCCUUCAAGCUAAUGUGCAUAAGAUUAACACUACUCCAUUU